Molecule: long non-coding RNA, 8832 nt
Filed under: Prunus persica (peach)
Lineage: Eukaryota; Viridiplantae; Streptophyta; Magnoliopsida; Rosales; Rosaceae
Description: long non-coding RNA (PPER_LNC001429)
Source: RNAcentral
CACGACCCAUUCACCCAAUCCUCCGCCUCCGCCACCCUCCCAGCCAAGUCCGGUCUCCUUCUGGGCUCACCGAACUACUUAGUCACCGUCGGUCUCGGCACACCCGCCAAGCAACUCUCUCUCGAAUUCGACACCGGCAGCGACCUCACCUGGACCCAAUGCCGCCCAUGUCUUCGAUAUUGUUACACACAGAGCGAGCCCAUCUUCGACCCUUCUCUCUCUGCCUCAUACAAAAACUUAUCCUGUACAUCCGCCACGUGUACUCAACUCUCAUCCGCCGGCAUCCCACACCGUUGCUCCUCCGCCUCGUCCUCCUGCCUUUACGGCAUCCGGUACGGUGACGGGUCCUUCUCCAUCGGGGAUUUCGCCAAAGAAAAGCUUACAUUGACCUCCAUGGACGUUUUUGAAGGUUUCCUCUUCGGCUGUGGCCAAGACAACCAAGGCCUUUUCAACGGCUCUGCCGGUUUGCUCGGUCUCGGCCGAAACAACAUCUCCCUCGUAGAACAAACCGCCAUGAAAUACAACCGCUUCUUCUCCUACUGCCUUCCGUCAACUUCCAGCUCCACCGGUCAUCUCACCUUCGGCAACGGAGGAGGCUCCGCUAACGGCGUCAAGUUCACCAAGCUCACCACGUUAUCCGAAAGAGAGUCGUCGUUUUAUGGCCUCGGCCUCACCGGCAUCAGCGUAGGCGGGUGCCAGCUGCCGGUUGCGUCCUCGGUCUUUUCGUCUUCGGGAACCAUCAUCGACUCGGGGACGGUGAUCACGAGGCUGCCGGCGACUGCAUACACGGCUUUGCGGGACGCGUUUCGGGAGGGUAUGAAAAACUACACGAUGACUAUGUCGUUUUCGCUGCUGGACACGUGUUACAAUGUCAGUGGCUACGAGACGGUGUCGUUUCCGGAUAUUGCGUUUGGAUUUGGGGACGGGGUUACGGUGGACUUGGACGCGGCCGGGAUAUUGUUGGCGGUAAGUGAUUCGCAGGUUUGUUUGGCGUUUGCGGGAAACAAGGAUGAUAGUGACAUUGGGAUUAUUGGGAAUGUUCAACAGAAGCGGUUGGAGGUGGUGUAUGACGUGGCUGGUGGAAAAGUCGGAUUUGCCCCUGCAAGUUGCCCCUGAGUAAUGAACAUCGUCCAUGGGGCAUAAUUGUAACACAAACUGCUAGCUAUAGAAUAAAGCAUUGUGUUCCAUAUUUUUCUGUAAUGGGAUUGUAUUGGGAAGUAUCCAAUUCUUACCUUUCCCCACUACUUGUAUAAAAUAGUCUAAUGACCAAUCAAGCGAUAGUAUUUUAUAUAAUAAUAAAAUAAUCGAAUGUAUUGGAAGGAAAAUUCCAACUCAAAUACAAAAAGGGGUUUAUUGCCCUAAUCAAUUCUCCUAACUCACGUAUGUUGUCGGUGUUUUGAAGUAAUGCCACGUGUUAAUGUGCUGUUUCUCUUUUGAAAUAGCAAAAGUAGAACACUAAUCUCCAUCUCCUAGUUUGGGCUUGUUUUGCUUUUGGACUCGACCAGGCCAACUUUAGCACAAAAUGUCUUAAGAAGGACCUAAAAGAAAAUAAAAAAAGAAAAGGUCAAUGAAUUGGGAAGGCUUUGGCUUGGGCUUGGGGUGGUUCAGCUUCAAAUUUUAACCAGUGCCUAGGGUUCAGUGUAUUGGUUUCAGCGGAAAGGCUCGUCAGUCUGCAGUCUGUGUCUUGGGCUGCCUAUCCUUAACUAACCACUUUCUGAUUGCUUUGUGUAUGGGCUUUUUUUUUUCGGCAGCUACAAAUGGGCUAGGCUGCUAUAAGGAGCGAAUUGAUAAAAUUAUCUCUUGUGUUUAAGUUCAAAGAUCAAGCCCCAAGAAUGCUUCUAAAGGAUAGUGAAGCCUUAAGAAACACUUUGGUUACCUUCACCAACAAAAAUAACAACAGCUUACAGAUAAAUUCUUAGCUUGGCAUGAGAAGCUUGUGGCAUGGGAGCUAAGCAUUCAUGAAUUUAGCAUGAGAGAGAGAAAUGAUUGAGAUUUCCUAUGAGAAAUAGAGUUUUUAAGGCAUGAGGGAAGGGAUUCUAAAAGGAUUUGUUGUGGAGAGAGAGGGGGAGAGAGAUGAGGGCAAUGGGUGGCUUAAGUGUUUUUCCACCAGCUUGACAGAGGCUCUGUCAAAUGUUAAAACAGUCUACCAAAAAAGGGAAAAUGGGAGAGAAUGAUGAAUAUAGCACGAAUUUGCUAGGUUUUGCAAGUGAGAGAGGAAGCUUGCUCUCUGGACGUGGUUGUGGCUAGUGGUGGAGUAUUGGGUGUUUUUGGUAGUUUUUCAGCAGCCUGACAAAAGCUUGCCAGAAGAGAAAAUAGAAGGAGAUGGAGGAAUAGGGCACGAAAUUGCAGAGUUUCAGAGAUGAGAGAUGAAGCUUGCUCUCUAGAUGUAGGUUGAGAUAAUUGGUAGGAAAUGCUUCUUUUUAUAGGCAUUAGAAGCUACUUUUUUUCAAGAAACCCUAAUAGUUUCUAUCCAAUUUGGCCAAGCUUUUUUCCUUCAUUUCUUCUCCAUUCCUUUGACUUAUCCUAUUUGGUGAAAUUCUCUCUGCCCAAUUGCACAAAAACAGAGAUUUUGGGAGCUCAAUGCUCUUCUCACAGCUGCCUCAGUAGAGAACUCCCAUUUUCAGCCAUCUUUCUUCCUUCUUUACUCCCCUCUUCUAUGGCUAGAUCUGAUGGGGGGGAAAGAAAUGGGUAUGUACACUGGUUUGAAGGGUGUUUUGCUCAAGUAUCCCUUGGUUUUUCUGAUGGCUUGCGUUGGAUUUGUCUUUGGCCAUGUGCUGGAGAUUCCCAGCAGCCUGCAAAUGUGAGUGGCUUUUGGCUUUUAUCAUGGUUUUGUCUCCAACCAUGUACCGGAGACUUUCAAAUAUUUUGUUGGUCACUUGGGCCAUUCUUUAAGGUAAAGGCGCUAGUUCACUAAAGGGAUGGGCCAACUUCCCAAAGUGAUGGGCUAUCUUUUCUAAGGUAAUGAGCUAUUUUCUCUCCUUUAUGUUUACCCACAUAUUUGGGCUCAAGAAAUGGACUUGAGUUUCGGGAUUCCCAAGCAGCCCAAAACUUCCAUUUCUCAGCUCAUCAAUAGGCCUCAUGAAAGCUCGUAACCAUCUAUACCACAACCCAAUCAGCAAGCCCAAGGCAUUCGCGUGGCUUGGGUCCACUUAAACUUGUAGUGUGGCGUGUUGCUUAUUUGCUUGGCGUGGCACGUGUGCAAGCGUAUAUGAUGAACUCUUGCGUACCUAAAUUAGGUUUCUUCCCAAGUUAGGUGUCGUACUAGGCCGAGAAUUUAUUCGGGCCCAACAGUGGAUUUUUUGAACCUCAACACUUAGGUAGCAAAAAUCAGAGGACACAGAGAGAUAGAGAGAGGGAGACAGCCACAGACCAUCAAGUACUUUAAGUUAGGUUUGAUUCAUGAUAUUAACUGACUCUUAUAUUUGCUUUAAUAUCCAUGUGGAUGAAAUUUAAAAUGUGAUAUCAUGUGGUUAAGUAGUGGUGUAGGAUUUGUCUUUCAAUGGUUUCAACCAAUUUCGUGGAUGUUAAGAUUGAUAUAGGUUGGUUGACAAUAGGUAGAUCGUCCUUAUCGUUUCUAAUCCUAAUAUGACAAUGCCUUAUAUUAAUUUUCUAAUUUUUGGUUGAAUAUCUUAUUUGAACAAAGGCAUCUGAAAAUUUGAUCAUUUUGAUGUGUAGAGGCCAUUGUUACACUUCGCAAAGAAAAAUAAUGUAUAUCUUUUGCUGGACAAAAUUACGCUUAUAUAUAUGUGCUGGCUAGUGUGUUCCAUUUCUUUUUGUUUUGUUAUUUGGCAAAUGUUACACUUUUGUACAGGGGAACAAUACCACCCAUCUUUCCUUUUGAAGUGUUAUUUGAAGAAAAUGAUUUUGAAUGAUUUGAAAGAAUUACAUAUGCACUUUAAAAAAAAUGCAACCUUCAAAAAUACAUCCAAAUAGCUAAAUAAAGUAUUUCUUGUUUGUUUUAUGGGAAAUAUGAAACUUUGCUCCCACAGAUGAUAUUGACGGAGAAAAGAAAGAAUUUUCGUUCCUAAACCAAGAAGAGAAAUCACGUGGGUUUUUGAUCAGAAGAGGAGAUUGGAAUGAGUAGGAGGGUAUUUUAGAAAUUUUCUCCCCACUAAAAAUAUUAUCAAAAUAUUAAAUAGAAAGUUUCUUUUAAAAAAAGAAUAAAAGAUAGAGUCAAAAGUUAUUAACAGCUGGCGUCAUCUCAUUAGGCUGGGACACUGACGUGGACAGCUGACCAUAGCAUACCCAUGGCAGGGAAGUUUUUCUCCAGUGGAGGAGACUGUGCAGAAGAAGAUAGCCUUUUUUCUUAUGCUUUUCUUUCCUCUGCCCUUCUCUUUUCUAACUUGCUAUCAUGGUAUGGUUCUGAGCUUUCUCAUUCUCACGUCUUUGUUGUUGUAAUUCUAUCUGAGAAAUUUAUAAAAUUCUUCUCUGUAUUCUUUUUGGUCAGUUGGGUGAGUGCUGUUUGAUUGCCUUGUUGCUUUUUUUCUUCCCUGAUCUAGGGUUUAGGGUUUCAAACAUUUUAUUGAGCUUGAAGAGGAAGUGAUGAUGAUAAAGCAAGGACCUUUUGAUAAAGAUUACUACUUCCUGAUGUGGGCCUUUGACCAUAGAAAGAGAUCAGAUAAAGCAAGGAAAUGGGAGAAAAUAUACGCCCUUUGGCAUUUGAUGGUCCUUGUUGCUUGCUUGUAAGUUGUAAUUGUCGGUGAGCAGGCUUAGCUAAAGAGAGUAAAGGAAAGCAACAGUGAGAGAGAGAACUCUCCCUCCUCUCUUUUCCACACUUUCUCUCUCCAUCUUCUUUUCUUUAUCUCCUUUACUUUGCCACACCCAAAGCAAUACUUACUAAACUAACUAAUCCAAAAUGAUUAUUAAUUUAUUAACUGGGGUUAAUUGCUGCAGCCUUCAUCCCAAAGCAAUACUUACUAAACUAACUAAUCCACAGGCUUCUUGUGAGGCAAUCUUUUCUCUUAUUCAAUUACCCCAGUUAAUAUGAAACUGUUGAAAUCAAUAUUUAUAUAAAUACAAUUGCGAAAAAAUAUUUACGAAAUUUUGUAAGUAAUACGUAGAGCACGUGAUUUAAAAAAAAUAUCUCACAUAUGAGAAAGCGCGUACAAAAAGACUAAUAAAACAUAAACAAAAAGGAUAAUCCUCAAGGGGAGCCACUAAUUAUUGAUCAUAUACCAGACAACUCCCAUCUUUAUAUAACUUCCAUUUUCAUUUUUCUUUUAAUUUUGUAAUUUGUAAUUUGGAUUUUUGGGAGGUGGAGUGGGAUAAGAAUUAUAGGGUGCGGUUCGUGUACCUAGGAAACCGCCACGUUCUUUCUUUAGGAAAUUUGGGAUAAAGUUAAAAAAACAUAAGUUGGGAGGUAGUGAAAUUAAAAGCAAGGCCAUGUGUUUCAUGAAUCAAAAUCAGACAGUUUUGUGUCCCAGUGAUGCAGAGAUAUAUACAAAUAUCAUUUAGACUUUUGCUUUUGGGCUUUGAUCAGGAUCUGAUCCGUUAUCUCAUCACCUUUUUUUUUUCUUUUUCCUUUUUUUACUCUUCAGUUUCUGCAUGUGCGUUACACUAACAUCAUUACUAAUCUCCUUUUUAUCUAAGCUGUCUUUCUGUAAAGGUAACACUGAUAUUCCUUCCCCAUAAUUCAAAGAAAAAAGGAGUUUGAGAUGUGGAAAUAUGGAUUCCCGAAUCAAAACUUUUUGAUUUUGUUAACGAUUAUAGUGGGCCCAUCAGUACUGGGAAUUUGUCUGCUUAUUUUGAAUUGAAAGCUACCUCUUGUUGGAAAACCUUAAAAGUUGUUUCUUUCCAAGCCCACUUACACUUGCUGUGUAAACUAAUGAAGUCUACAUGAAAGCAAUCUCAUGUCCUAUUGUGUAUAUGCAUGUGCUUAAUUGGUGUAUAUUCUGUAGUACCACAACAGAAUGUUUAACAUUCAAUUGGGGCUAAUUCCAUGAUAGAGUGGUAAUUGAACAGUAUCAAUACAUCAAUAAGUGCACAGUUGGGUAUACACAAUGAUCAAAAGGAGACAAAACAUAACAGCGGUUUAAGUGUUUCAUAAGAGAGUAAAAUAGAAGAAAUUGAGAACUGUUCAUAAGCAAAUCUGCCCAUUCAUAAGCAUACGUCUAAUUAUAAAAUCAAAGAACAAGAUACUGAAUAAAAAUAAAGUGAGAAAGAGAGAUUGUUAAAUGCUCUCAGCAACCAAUCAUAUUGUAAAAUGAGAAAGAGAGAUGAUUGUCGUCAAACCUUGCUACAACGGCCGAGAUCUUUGGAUCCACUAGAAUCUCCCCUUUCAGCUUCAACCCCAGAUAUUUCUUUGUCUUUGUACCUCUCAACCUUGAAAGCCCUUGGAACAAGGUGGUUCUAUAUACCAGACAAAAGAAACCAAUUAUCAAAUUUAAUCAGAAACUCACAUUACCAACAAACAAAACCCAGCUAUCCAAAAAAAUUCAAGAAACCAAAAGACAAAGGGAAUAGAAAAAGCAAACUGACAUUUGAUUUCAAAAUCCCCAAUUUCUAGGGUUUGAACUGAUGAGAGCGAGGAGGAGAGAUGGACGAAAAGAUAGAGAGAGAGAGAGAGAGAGAGAGAGAGAGCACGCGAGCUUCAAGCUUCUCCCAUGGAAGCUAGCUUGAGUGAGAACCAGUAGCACAGAGCGAACCAGCAGAUCCAACGACAAGAGAAAAAAAAUUCAAGAAAAACGCAUUUGUUUUGUUUUGAAUAAUAAGGGUCUUUUUGCAAAUGACCCCAUUGGUGUAGUGGUUUGGAGUAUUUACUCCCUCAGACAAGGUCUUGGAUUCGAGUCCUAGCAUCCGCAUAGUGUGUGUGAGUUUAGUAUGCUAUCGCCCCUCUCAAUGAGUCCUGUUUACCUGUUACCAAAGUUCCUGUGGCCUCCUGUUUCCCUGCUAGUUUCGUGACAUGUGGCAAGCCACUUAACACCACUUAACUCUGUUAACUCUUUUUGCUUCUUUUUAUUGUUUGUUUUUUUUGCUUUUUCUCCCAGUUCUGCCCCUUGAGGGUUUAGGGUUUAGGGUUUAGAGCUGGUGUUUCGGCUCGAGUCCAUGUGUUGUUUUGGGCUGGUAAGGGAAAAAUGAGCGGAAAAGAUAAGAGAAGGUAGGGAAAAAGGGGGUGAAGGAGAAACUAAAAAAAGAAAUAAAAAAGGAGAUGAGAGAAAAAGAAAAACAAAGCAAAAGCAAAAGCAAAAAAAAAAAAGAAGAGAGAGAGAGAGAGAGAGAGAGAGAGAGAGAGAGAGAGAGAGAGAAUGUGGAGGUAGAGAUCUGGAAAAGAUAACAAAAAAAGAAGAAGAGGAGAGGAGACGACGGAGGGAGGGGGAGAGAAGAGAGAAAGGGGCAUAACAGGGAGAAAAAGAAAAAAAGAAAAAAAAAGCAAAAAGAAGCAAAAAGAGUAAACAAAGUUAAGUGGUUUUAAGUGGCUUGCCACAUGUCAUGAAAUUAGCAGGGAAACAGGGGGCACAGGAACUUUAGUAACAGGUAAAUCGGACUCCCUCUCAAUAGGAAAUAUCCACAAAACACAAAAGAAAAAAAGGUCUUUUAAAAUUUGUUUUGGAAUUGGAUUUUUAAAAAUAGACCUACCAAACGAGUUUUUGGGCUUUUGAAUUUAAAAUCAGUUUUUGAGUUUAUAAAAUUGGACUCAAAUCAAAUACCAAACAGACCCUUAAAGACUUAAUGUUUUCUUAAAAUAUUGCGUUUGUUUAUUUUAUAGAGUACAAUUAUAUGUUUUAAAUAAUUUUCAAAUUAUCUAAUAUUUUUUAAGAAUCAACUGUAAAUUAUGCCUGACGGUGAAAAUACAAUUUACCUCAAAAAUAACUAAUUAUUUGACGUUAUUUGACGUGUUGAGAAGGCUAAAUAUGGAGUCUACAGAAGUCUAGAGAGACUUGACUAGUUGACAUCCCUGUCUCCAAUUAGCCUAUAUAGGGCCAAGAGUAUGCUUACAUUACAGCAGCAACUCAAUAAUCUAGAGGCACUCUUGUUAAUUAUUCAUGGCAACUCCCAUUAUUUCUAGCUCCUCCUUCCUUAGGUUUUUCAUGGCUUUCUUCUCUGUAUUUCUAUGCCUAAGUCUCUGCUCUUUCGAGAACGGAUUUGCUUUGGCAGCAAGAGAUACAAAACCCCACCCUCUCCCACAUACCACUCACACAGUUGAAGUGAAGUCUCUUCUACCAGCAACCACCUGCAGCCCCUCCACCAAAGGUUAAUUCAUCCCAUAUUAUAUAUAUAUAUUAAUUUCAAACCCCAUUUUAUGUGCAUUUAUGUAUCUCUAACACACACACACACACUCUGUCUCUGUCUCUCUCUCUCUCUCUCUCUCUCUCUCUCUCUCUCUCUAUGCAUACAUGUUUCAAUGAUCUCAGGUCAUAACAUUAACAAGGCAUCAUCGGUACUGAAAGUGGUGCACAAACAUGGGCCAUGCUCCAAUUUCCACAAAUCAUCAAAAACUUCAACCACAACUUGUGAUGAAAAAUACCAUGCUCAAAUCCUCAAGCAAGACCAAGCCCGAGUCAACUCAAUCCACUCCCGCCUCAACCACAACAACAACAAAGACCCACUCACCCAAUCCGCCGCCACCACCCUCCCCGCCAAGUCUGGUCUCGUUAUCGGCACAGGGAACUACAUUGUCACCGUCAGCCUCGGUACACCCGCCAAGCAACUCUCCCUCGCCUUCGACACCGGCAGCGACCUCACCUGGACCCAAUGCAAGGCAUGUUCUGCUACUCAGUCUUGUUACAAACAGAGAGAGCCCAUCUUCAACCCUUUUCUCUCCGCCUCAUACAAAAAAAUCUCAUGUACCACCGCCGCGUGUACUCAGCUCUCAUCCAUCGGCGUCCAACACGG